Panthera uncia (snow leopard) is the source of this 3218-nucleotide long non-coding RNA. RefSeq lists it as uncharacterized. The transcript is spliced from 3 exons. NCBI's taxonomy places the organism in Eukaryota, Metazoa, Chordata, Mammalia, Carnivora, Felidae. The record is from RefSeq and is a predicted model, not a curated record.
AAAAACCUCAAGCGAGGCCGGUCGGCGCGUAGCAUUGUGGGAAAUGUAGUUUGGUGGCCUCGACUUGUUUGUGGUUUAGGUGGAGGAGUGCGGGAGGGGAAGCGAGCGGGAAAGGGGAUACUCAGACCCAGGAGAUGGGGUGGCAAGAGGAAUGAAGUGCGAAGAGCAGUGCAGAACUUUCCGUAUCCUUAAACCAAUCUGGACCUUCAUUUAUCUCGGCUGGCAUACGGAGAGGCCAAUAUUAUUCCUCACCACAUACCCUUGUGAGGACCUGGAAGAAUUACCGAUGGUAACAAUGUGAGUUCAUGCUAUUGUCCAGUGAAGGAGCCAAAAGCAAGGGAAGAGGAGAAGGAGUAAAAGAAGGAGGAGUAAACAGACCUUGACUCCUUCCCAGCUGCAGGUUGUGGAGCCAUAGAUCGCACCAGACAUUGGAGGGGAUUUGGUGCCCUGAAAACCCUGUGCAAGAGUAUGCUGGGGACCACCUCCUACAGAAGGGAAGGGAAGAGAGCAAAGUUGGAAGGAAGGAGAGAUCCAGCUGUGGUGCGGGUCCAAUAACAGAGUCUUGGCCAAUGCCCUUCAGAAUCGCCCUGAAUCGGGCAAGAUGGUCAGGCUUCUAUAACCCCACAUGGAUUGUCACCAAGGUGUGAGUAGGAUCGUGGCUGAGGCAGCUGUUUGCAUUCAGAAAAUUCCUGAAAGGGUUGGGAGAGCUGAGAGACAGCUGAAGAAGACUCUCAACCAAUAGCACUCCCAGGUAGGAGGGCGACGUGUCCUUCAUUGAAGGAGACACGUCCUGCAUCUGAGUAGUGCAUCACAAUACCCACCAGAUGCCCCUUUCUGGGAGAAAGUCUGAUAAGAAAGCAAGAGUCAGUCCUCAGCAAAACCAUAAAGAAGACAGCUUGGUUUGAGUGUCCCUCUUAAGAUUCCCCUUCUUGUGAAGACUGACUCCUUUCCUUUUCCCUAGAAAGCCAGUGCUUUCAUGCUGCCCUGUGCUGGAUCCCGCCAUUUUCUCACCACCUCUAAGAAUUUCUGCAGACAUUGUCCUGUUUCUCGGGGAUUAAAUACACUAGGACUUUGCUUCUGUCUCUCAAAUUACAGGUUUCUUGUGCAUUUUAACAGAGAUCACCUAUAUCUUCACACAAAUUAGUGAUUCAUGUGGAGAAUUUCUGGAAUUAUAGUCAGGAAAGCUGUUUUUCCACCCACCUCUGCUCCUUCUCAGAUAACUUUCCUUCUUCAUCAAAUACAUCUUCUAGUUCUGUGUGUGUGUGUGUGUGUGUGUGUGUGUACUUUUUAAUUUUUUGUAGCAGAUGAAAAUCCAGGAUACCAGGACAGAACCAGAUUCCAUGAGAUUCUGGAAUGUAGCUGAAAACAUUGUGACAUUGUUUCCCACCCUACGGUCUAGUAGAGGGGCAAAGAAGAGUCCCAGGAAUUAGUACUAAAAAGAGAAAAAAGCCCUGGGGCCCCUGGAAAAGAAAGGAGAGGGAUCUUAGGAUGCUGGUUGUGGCCUGAGAAAGGACUCCAAGGUGGAAGAGAGGGACCCAUGUUCCUAGAAGACAAAGCACUCCACAAAAAACAACUCCAACAGCUACCAAGUGAUGGCAUCUCUAACUCAGGCUCCCAUCACUCAUCUGUGUUCAGCAUUUUCAUUGCCUGGGGCUAUGAAAGCCCCUUUUUCAUUGGGGUUUCACGUAUUUGUGGAGUAAGUGGCUAGUGUUGGGCUUUGAAGUCCAAUAUGACCUGACAGAAUUUGAAAAGAUCUGCAUGGACUCAAAAGGAUGCACACCUUUCAAUCCAUUGUCUAACAUGCCUUCCAAACUGUUACUUCAUUCUCUAGAAAGAUGAACCUUUAUUUAACUUUCUUUCACAGUUAAUACAAAAAUAGUAUACUUAUUUAUUAUAAAUUUUGCAGAUAAUUUCUACUUUGUGAUCGAUUCUUUUUGAUAUCAUCCAAGUUCUCCAAGGUUAACACAUUAUUUUUAUAACCAGAAAAAGAAAUAAUUAGCAGUUUUGGUUUUUUUAUGAAUGAAAUGAUGUGAUUAGGACCCAGACUCUUAACUUACAGACUUUUGUCUGGUAGAGAUGUAAAUAGUUUCUAUUCAGCAGAAAACUCAACCCUAAACUGUGUGGUAUCAUUGCCCCAUUGGAUAUUUCCCAGUUCUAUAUGUCUCUUCGAAAUCUCUGUGCCUCACAUUCCUCCCUUGUAGGUAGGGAUAAUAGUACUUAUCUCAUAGGUUUGUUGUGUGCGUUAAAUGAGACACUCCAUAUAAAACACUCGGAGAAGAGUCUAUAAUAGUAAACAAUAGUGCUGCCUGUUAUUAUUACAGACUCAUUUAACUGAAAAAUCUAGGGCAUAUCCUUCAGGUAUGGCUCAAGUAAGUCACGAGAUCUUGCAUCCUCACAACUCCACCCAAAUCCUUCACUAAGAGAAUGUUUCUGUCUUGGCUCCUCUACCAAGAACAUUGGGACUGACUGUUUGGAAAGACUCGUGUACACUUGUCAAUGCAGGUGCCAGUGGGGCGGGCAGCAGCAGGCAGCAGGUGCUCCAGGCAGAGGCAAAGACACAAGAGACUCCAUUCCCUGGAAUCUGGGUCCUGCUAUCAUGGAUUAAGACCCUAAAGUCCUACACAGCCCCAGUAGCCCUGCUUAUUUCUAUUUCAUCAUUUUUUUUUAACAUUUGUUUAUUUUUGAGAAAGAAAGAAAGUGCGAGCAGGGGAGGGGCAGAGAGAGAGGGAGACACAGAAUCCAAAGCAGGGUCUAGGCUCUGAGCUGUCAGCACAGAGCCUGAUGUAGGGCUCAAACUCACAGACCGUGAGAUCAGGACCUGAGCCAAAGUUGGACGCCCAACGGACUGAGCCACCCAGGCGCCCUUCUACUUCAUGAUUUUAGGCUAAGACUGUCAAGUGCUUAAUAGCAGUUAACAUGGUAUCUUUCCUUAAAAAUGAUUCUCUAUGCAUUAAAUUUUUUUUUUUAAAGGGGGACAUCUGGGUGGCUCCGUUGGUUGAGCAACCAACUUCAGCUCAGGUCAUGAUCUUGCAGUUUGUGAGUUCAAGUCCUGAGUCAGGCUCUCUGCUGACAGCUCGGAGCCUGGAGCCUGCUUUGGAUUCUGUGUCUCUGCCUCUCUCUGCCCCUCCUCUGCUCAUGCUCUGUCUGUCUCUCUCAAUAAUAAAUAAACGUUAAAAAAAAAAAAAAAAAGAUUCUCUAUGAACUUAGUCCAAAGACAG